This 398-nucleotide ribosomal RNA is filed under the name uncultured bacterium. RNAcentral describes it as "bacterial SSU rRNA". It matches the Rfam family "Bacterial small subunit ribosomal RNA", at positions 398 to 796 of the family's 1533-position model. The record is from RNAcentral.
CACGUGGAGGAGGGAGACGUUCGGGUGGUAAAAUCCCCUCAGGGGGGGGGAUGGUCUCUUUUUGGAUUGAUUGACGGUACCUCCAGAGGAAGCUCCGGCCAACUACGUGCCAGCAGCCGCGGUAAUACGUAGGGAGCGAGCGUUGUUCGGAUUUACUGGGCGUAAAGAGUGCGUAGGUGGCUAUACAAGUCAAGGGUGAAAUCCCUGCUUUCAAGGUAGAAACUGCCUUUGAUACUGUAUGGAUAGAGGAUAAGAGGGGGAAAUGGAACUCUGGGAGUAGCGGUGAAAUGCGUAGAUAUCCAGAGGAACGCCAGUAGCGAAGGCGGUUUCCUGGCUUGUUCCUGACGCUGAGGCACCAAAGCUAGGGGAGCGAUCGGGAUUAGAUACCCCAGUAGUCC